UCCGGUUUGGCACCGGCAGUCUCCCAUGAGUCCCCGGCAUGACCCGCUGGCAACAUGGGACAGGGGUUGCGCUCGUUGCGCCACUUAAGGCAACACCUCACGGCACGAGCUGACGACGGCCGUGCAGCACCUGCGCAGGCUCCCUUGCGGGUCCCUCCCGUUUCCGGUCGGUACCACCUGCAUGUCAAGCCCGGGUAAGGUUCUUCGCGUUGCAUCGAAUUAAACCACACGCUCCGCUGCUUGUGCGGGCCCCCGUCAAUUCCUUUGAGUUUUAGCCUUGCGGCCGUACUCCCCAGGCGGGGCACUUAAUGCGUUAGCUUCGGCACGGAGGGAGUCGACACCCCCCACACCUAGUGCCCAUCGUUUACGGCGUGGACUAC
RNAcentral lists this unclassified non-coding RNA (380 nucleotides) under uncultured Actinomycetes bacterium. Its description in RNAcentral is "uncultured actinobacterium contains 16S-23S intergenic spacer region". The record is from RNAcentral. Lineage: Bacteria; Bacillati; Actinomycetota; Actinomycetes.